Molecule: non-coding RNA, 3950 nt
Organism: Oryzias latipes (Japanese medaka)
Lineage: Eukaryota; Metazoa; Chordata; Actinopteri; Beloniformes; Adrianichthyidae
Source: RefSeq, a predicted model, not a curated record
UCAAGACUGAACCUGUUUAAAACAUUUUGGUUGAUCUAAAAUACGAUUAAAAAAAAGGGUAGGGAAAAACAGCAAUUCUCAAACUCUCUCAUUGAGUGUCUUUUUACUCAAGGGGGUUGCAAAGCUGGUGUUCAAGUUCAACAUUUAUAUUUUAACAACAUAAUAACAGAUUUAAACUUUAAUAAUGACAAAAACAUGGAUUAUUUUAUUUAAACAUGUCCCAGAACAGAACUCAAACAAUUCAAUGCUGUUUCUAUCUCACAGGCAAGCUUUUUUUUCAGUUCAAACAUUGAAAUGACAUUUUUAGUUGUUCAUGUGUUUUGAAAAUUUAAGUUAAGUUUAUCUCUAAAUGGGCAUUUUCCCCCCUUUCUUAAAACACCACAUAAUUUUUCUGAAAUAAGGUUAACACACAUCUGGAAUUAACAAUGUUUGAUGUCAUUUCACCUCAGAGUGACAUCUGUAACUCUGGUCCUGGGACAUUCAAUUACAGAGCAGAACAUUUGAGUACAGGUGUGUCUUGCUGUUCAGUUGAGGUUUAUGCAUCCACCCUGAGGGAUGUCCUGAAAAUGAAACAUACCAUUGUUGUGUGUAUGGUAAAUAUAUUAUGAAGUAUUUGUAUUGGUAAUGCAAGUUGCACGCACUUAUGAAGUGAUAGUGAUAGUGGUGCCCUUACUCGACACUCUAGUCGUUAGUGAGAUGCACAUACUGACCCCUUACUGACUGCACUCGAAUGCCACACGCACAAGGUGUACACGAGAUAAGUGCCCGUAGGAUGCCCGCACAAAUUACAACCUGUCUAAUUUCCUAAUCUCUAACAGUCAGGCUGCACACAAGGAGCGUGCAAUUAUCACGUGAACGGCACUUAUGAACCCCUUGCGCAGUCUGCCAGAUUUUUACUACAACUUGUCACCUGCACGGAGUCUAUAGAAAAAAAUGUGCAUGAACAUUUUCGCCUCACUGGGUUGUCUACGACCUUAAAAUUUUGUGAACCUGCAUGUCCUGUACAGGUUUACUUUUCCCCUUUAGACAGCCCUUGUCCACCCAUAAGGGGCAGUUGUGACUAAGGCAUUACUUAUUUUACCCUUUCUUACCCUUACAUGUUGUAUAAGUGGUCGCUAUAGGACCUGUUGCCCGCUGCAUGCCUGUGGAGAAAAAUGUGUUUGAACAUUUUGUCUGUACGGGCUCACAGAGCAGUCUACAACUUUGACAUUUGAUGUGGGUCACCUGAGUGUCCCAUACAGAUUUGCCAAUUUUCUAGCUGCAAACAGCUGGUAUCCACCUGAAAAGGCAGUAGCCACUUAGCCAUGUCUUUUAUCCAUUAGCACUGGCAUCUUGGCUGCUUUUCUUCUCUUUUAGUAUUUAUUUAUAGCUUUACUAAAUUCUAUUUGUUCAGGAUCUGUUCAAUUGUACCAGUGGUGGCUGUCCUUUGAACUAUUGUUCUUCCUCACCAUGCUUUCUCCAUAUUCAUGGAUUCUCAGACUCAUAACUUAUUGACUCAGUAAUUCAACUUUGAUAGGAUUAGGAUGAUAAACGGCAUAAGUCACCCUGGAUGAAUCUGUUGCUGUGAUGAAUGGCACGGCAGGAUCCCUAGAAACUAACUGCAGCAUUUCCUGUCCUCUGUUACUUCCUCUGGUUAUAUUAAGAGCAACUUUUUUCCUUUUUCCUUCUCAGUGCUCUGAUGCUGUCACACCUCUUUCUUCCCUCUGGGUGUAAUUUUUUCCCGCUUUGCCUUUAUAACACUUUCCUCUUGGUUUUGACGUUUUUCUCUUCUUUUUCUUUGAAUGAUGGGGAUUUUUCUCUGGUCUGCUUAGGAUUUUAGUUAUUUUAAGCAAAUGUAUGAUAAAAAAAUGCAAAAAGAUCAUACAUUCAUAGAUUUUAGUGACAAUUUUUCUCCAAAAGUGUUUUUAACGAAAAACAAAAACAUCAAAAACAGGUAAAACUUAAAAUCUUAAAAUGUUGUUUUGAAAAGAGCUCCCAAUCUCCUGAAAACUCUAAAGAUGUAUCAUAAUGCUGUUUGAAAGAUACCUAAAUGUACUACAUAUACCUUAAAACCAGCAGUUUUUUGUUGUUUUUGUAUCAUCUUAAAUGUUUCUAUUUGAAACAUAAUCAGUUUCUCACAAUGCAAGGCUGCACACUGGCGCAGUGGUUAACACUCUUCCCUCACAGCAUGAAGUCCCUGGUUGAAGUCUUGGCUGGGGGUCCUGGGACGGAAUCGCCAAUAGGGGACAUCUCUGUGUGGAGUUUGUGUGGGUUUUCUCCGGGGGACUGGAGCUUCCUCCCACCCCCCAAAAACAUGCUUCAUAGGUUAAUUGGUUGCACUAAAUUGUACCGUAGUGUGAAUACGAGUGGUAUGGGCAUGUAAUUGUGGCCCUGCAUCAGACUAGCUCUGGGAUAGGCUCCAACAGCCCCCAAAAGGCAUGAAAACCAAUGCCUUGUAUAUGUUGAAGCCUAUAAUAAUCACGUUUUUUUUUUUUUUUAAAUCAGUUUAGAUAUUUUUUGGGGAAAAAGCAAUAUCUUUUGAUUUAUAUUGAUUCAGUUUUUUUUAUUUUUGAUAAACAAACUGAGAAGAGUUAUUGAGGAUCACGAAGACAGAUUCACUUUCACUCGUACUUCACAAAGAAACUGUCUCAAAGAAGAUUUAAGAUCUAAAAUGAACAAGCUUCCACACAAAUGGCAGCAACUGAAGUUCUCAUUCAGUCUUCCAAAGUGCAUUGAUCUGCAACUGCAGUCUCAAGCAGCUCGUGGAUGAAUGAAUCUAAAGUAGACAUAAAUGGUAAGAGUAACAGCUUCAUUUGUGCCCAAAAUACCACAAAAAGAUUAAAUCAGUUCUUAUGAACUGUUAAAUUAGGGGAAACCUCUGUCACCAACACGAAAACUAAACAAUGUACUAACAAUUUGUGACAUAAAAUACGCCGGCCGGCCACAACUCCCUGCCCCAAGCUCUCAGCAACGGGGUGGGGAAGGGGGCCGGUUUGGUCCACGCCAACAGUCCCCUUCACAAGUUAGAGGUGAAUUUCAAAUCCACUUUACUUCAGAACUUCAGAGGUUUCAUAUUUCCUUCAAUUUCAUGCGCAAAAAACAUCAACAUAAUUGAGCACGAAUAAUGUUUACUACUCCAUAUCUAGGGUCUAAAUAAGUGAACAAUUUACCUCAUGUCUGACCAUGUCAGACCUUUUGCUUUCCUUAAGUGAUGUAUAAAUAUUAGGCUAAAAUCUCAAUUCGUUUCGGUUCAGAAUUUCAUUGGGCUCGGUUCGGUACAUUUCGGUUUGGUACUGCUGUUGUCAUGGUGCCUCAGUCAGACUCCUCCCCCUCCAGGUCUGCUCCACUCCACUCCUGAUUACCACCAGCUGCAGUCACUCAUCCUCGUCACCUCACCUCCUCUUAAGGAGCUGCAAUCCUUCAAGCCGAUGCCAGUUCGUUGCCUUUCAACGGAAACCACUUCAGGAGUGACGCCAGUGUGGACCUUCUGCUAAGUUUCAUCCUCCCCUCAGCUCUCUGUACCCCCUAUUUGACUGGUCACCAUGGGGAGAAGAGCCUUCAGCCAUUCGGCCCCCAAACAAUGGAACUCUCUCCCCCUGGACCUCACUAUCAUUGACUCGUUGCCUAUUUUUAAACUGAUUUUAUGUUUUAACAUACUGUGUCGUUGAGUGCCAAGGGUGGUGCUAUAAAAUGUAUUGUUAUUAUGAUCUAAUCUAAAUUAUGGUUGUGUUUAUUGAGGUAGAAGUGAUUUUGUGAAGUACACAGCGCUCUGUCAAAAUACCUGUUUUGUAAAUGUUUUUUCUUUACGUGUUGCAUACAAGGUUGAGUGUUAUUAUAAAUAACAACUAUUGGUGUUGGACUGCAUGUGUUUUUUAACUGUUACUAACAAGGAUGGAUGUUACCCAGUGAUAAAACAGGAAAAAAAAAUAUCUUUCUUGAUUUGAAUUUUAAUUAAAUAUUGACACAUUUAA